RNAcentral lists this ribosomal RNA (508 nucleotides) under uncultured Emiliania. Its description in RNAcentral is "bacterial SSU rRNA". It matches the Rfam family "Bacterial small subunit ribosomal RNA", at positions 90 to 629 of the family's 1533-position model. Lineage: Eukaryota; Haptophyta; Isochrysidales; Noelaerhabdaceae. The record is from RNAcentral.
CUUUAGUGGCGAACGGGUGCGUAAUACGUGAGAAUCUGCCCUUAGGAGGAGAAUAACUUCUGGAAACGGUUGCUAAGUCUCCAUAUGCCGAGAGGUGAAAUAGUUUAUACUGCCUAGGGAUGAGCUCACGCCUGAUUAGCUUGUUGGUAAGGUAAUGGCUUACCAAGGCCACGAUCAGUAGCUGGUUUGAGAGAACGAUCAGCCACACUGGGACUGAGACACGGCCCAGACUCCUCCGGGAGGCAGCAGUGAGGAAUUUUCCGCAAUGGGCGAAAGCCUGACGGAGCAAUACCGCGUGAGGGAUGAAGGAUUUUGGUCUGUAAACCUCUUUUCUCAAGAAAGAAGUUCUGACGGUACCUGAGGAAUAAGCAUCGGCUAACUCCGUGCCAGCAGCCGCGGUAAUACGGGGGAUGCAAGCGUUAUCCGGAAUCAUUGGGCGUAAAGCGCCUGUAGGUUGUUUAAUAAAUCUGUUGUUAAAGACUAGGGCUUAACCCUAGGAAAGCAAUGG